AGCGAACGGGGAGCAGCCCAGAGCCUGAAUCAGUGUGUGUGUUAGUGGAAGCGUCUGGAAAGGCGCGCGAUACAGGGUGACAGCCCCGUACACAAAAAUGCACAUAUUGUGAGCUCGAUGAGUAGGGCGGGACACGUGGUAUCCUGUCUGAAUAUGGGGGGACCAUCCUCCAAGGCUAAAUACUCCUGACUGACCGAUAGUGAACCAGUACCGUGAGGGAAAGGCGAAAAGAACCCCGGCGAGGGGAGUGAAAAAGAACCUGAAACCGUGUACGUACAAGCAGUGGGAGCCUCUUAAUGGGGUGACUGCGUACCUUUUGUAUAAUGGGUCAGCGACUUAUAUUCUGUAGCAAGGUUAACCGAAUAGGGGAGCCGAAGGGAAACCGAGUCUUAACUGGGCGUUAAGUUGCAGGGUAUAGACCCGAAACCCGGUGAUCUAGCCAUGGGCAGGUUGAAGGUUGGGUAACACUAACUGGAGGACCGAACCGACUAAUGUUGAAAAAUUAGCGGAUGACUUGUGGCUGGGGGUGAAAGGCCAAUCAAACCGGGAGAUAGCUGGUUCUCCCCGAAAGCUAUUUAGGUAGCGCCUCGUGAAUUCAUCUCCGGGGGUAGAGCACUGUUUCGGCAAGGGGGUCAUCCCGACUUACCAACCCGAUGCAAACUGCGAAUACCGGAGAAUGUUAUCACGGGAGACACACGGCGGGUGCUAACGUCCGUCGUGAAGAGGGAAACAACCCAGACCGCCAGCUAAGGUCCCAAAGUCAUGGUUAAGUGGGAAACGAUGUGGGAAGGCCCAGACAGCCAGGAUGUUGGCUUAGAAGCAGCCAUCAUUUAAAGAAAGCGUAAUAGCUCACUGGUCGAGUCGGCCUGCGCGGAAGAUGUAACGGGGCUAAACCAUG
This 898-nucleotide ribosomal RNA is filed under the name Escherichia coli. RNAcentral's name for it is "partial 23S ribosomal RNA". It matches the Rfam family "Bacterial large subunit ribosomal RNA", at positions 252 to 1191 of the family's 2925-position model. Lineage: Bacteria; Pseudomonadati; Pseudomonadota; Gammaproteobacteria; Enterobacterales; Enterobacteriaceae. The record is from RNAcentral.